CCUGGAGGAGCAGACGGCGGCCCUUUCUGGGUUGUGAGACUACAGAAAAAACUUUCAAUGAUAAUCAAUGGUCUGUGGCUUCUCCUGGUUCCUGUUGUGCCAGGUGAUUAAUUGAUGAAGUUAUCUGAUAUCUUCAUAGCUAUUGCACAUGAACUGGUAUGCUGCAUGGUAAUGAGAGGCACACUGCAUGGUGCAUUAGGUGAUGAUGUUAAACUUACAGUUGGGUAUUCGAAGGAUAUAAGCGUAAAUCCUUUAUCUCGGAGGGUCUUUUCUUUGAAGUGGGUGUACAUGGUAUAUUUAUCUCCGCUAUAAGAAAAUCAGCAUUCGUCAUGCUCUCUGUUAUUGCAGAUGUGAAGAAUCUUUUCAGUUUCUAUAUCUAUCUCAUGUUAUUUCUUUGUAUUUCUAUUGCUUGCUUUAUAUUGUGUUUCCAUUUACUUUACACUGAUUUAUUUUCGGUCUCUUCUUUAGUUUUAGGUUCUCGGAUAUUAGGUUGGCUAGAGAAGAAAAUGGAUCGACUAUGAAAAAUAAAUUAGCAAGGCGUAAUUAAGAUUUUCUGAAACACUUCAUUUAGAAUUGGUAGGCUUUGUAGUGAUUGCGCCACUGUCAUUUUGUUCUACCUCUACAAAAGCCCCACAAAGUAUAACCUCUGGAUCUACAAAAGCCUAGGUUAUUGUACAUGCUCAUACACAUUUACUCUUCUGUCAUUAUAUUACUUGGUAAUUAGUAUGAGGGUGCAAGCCAUUGAUCUUUUGCUGUGUAAUAGAGGUAGGGAAAAGACUCUUCUACUUCUAUUAUAAAGGCUGGCUAUAAAAUGUCAAGUUAUUAGAUGCUUUGCCUUUUUCUGGUUCAAAACAAGUGACGCAACUCAGGUUUUCAGCCAUUGAUAUUUUCAUGUGUAAUAAAAGUGAGAUCUUGCUUAUUUAGUAUGCAUGUUUUUAUCCUUUGACCCGAUGUUCUUAUAGGUUGUCUUAAUAACAUGUUAUAUAUGUACCGGGAAUCCCCUUUUAUUCCUGCUGUAAAGGUUAGAGUUGAUUAGCAAUUUGGAAGCUUUUCAAGUGGUUUGUGAAGCUCCUAUGGUUACUUACAUGCACAUCAUGAACAAAUACAUGUGUGAUGGUCAGUACUCAUUUGAAAAAAAAACAAUGGUAGUUGUGUUUCCAUGGUCUGGUAAUAAUGUAGACUGAAGCUGCUCAGUUUUUUUCAGUACUCCGAUAUUUUUAUUGCCCAAAACCAAACUACUCACUCUGAUCCAUAGUUGUCAGUGAUUUAGUAUAACUUUAUUCUAAAAAUCUAAGUGAGCGACAACUAAUAUCAAUCGAAGGGAGUAUAAGACUCAGUAUGUAGUUAUGUACUAUGUAGCUUAGAUCCAGGAAAAGUGCAAUACUAUGUAUUUGUUCUGUAAUCUUUUAAAUGAUGUGUUUCCAAAUCUAUUGAUAGAGGUGACUUUGCGCUUGCAAAAUUACCGAAAUCUAAUGACCUCGCAUCUUCCUGGGUAAUCAAAUAAUUUGUUGUAUUUCUUGUGCAUGUCACAUUGUGUUCUUUCUACUAUGUUGCCCUGUCCCAGGU
Lolium perenne is the source of this 1566-nucleotide non-coding RNA. The record is from RefSeq and is a predicted model, not a curated record. NCBI's taxonomy places the organism in Eukaryota, Viridiplantae, Streptophyta, Magnoliopsida, Poales, Poaceae.